CGAAACUCGACUAAUUCCUUACGCGUAGCACCAGACCACCGGCGUGCCCCACCAUGUCAGACGCGGCAGUGGACACCAGCUCCGAGAUCACCACCAAGCGGGUAGCUGAGGAUGAUGAGGAUGAUGAUGUUGAGACCAAGAAGCAGAAGAAGACUGAUGAGGAUGACUAGACAGCAAAAGGAAAAGCUAACCUUACGCACCGUGACCUAUUCACCCUCCACUUCCCGUCUCAGAAUUUAAACGUGGUCACCUUCGAGUAGAGAAGCAGGCCCCCGCCCGCCCACUGCGGGCAGUGCCACCCACACAUGACAUGCGCUCUUCACCACCCCACCAAAACCACAACAUGAAUUGGCAACAUGGGAGGAGAAAAGAACCAGAACUUCCCAGGCCCUGCUUUUUUU
This 401-nucleotide long non-coding RNA is filed under the name Rattus norvegicus (Norway rat). Its description in RNAcentral is "long non-coding RNA NONRATT029619". Lineage: Eukaryota; Metazoa; Chordata; Mammalia; Rodentia; Muridae. The record is from RNAcentral.